Molecule: ribosomal RNA, 454 nt
Filed under: uncultured Porphyromonadaceae bacterium
Lineage: Bacteria; Pseudomonadati; Bacteroidota; Bacteroidia; Bacteroidales; Porphyromonadaceae
Description: bacterial SSU rRNA
Rfam family: Bacterial small subunit ribosomal RNA
Source: RNAcentral
ACGGGAGGCAGCAGUGAGGAAUAUUGGUCAAUGGGCGAGAGCCUGAACCAGCCAUGUCGCGUGCAGGAAUACGGCCCUAUGGGUUUUAAACUGCUUUUGCCUGGGGAUAAAGUGGCGGACUUGUCCGUUAUUGCAGGUACCAGGCGAAUAAGGAUCGGCUAACUCCGUGCCAGCAGCCGCGGUAAUACGGAGGAUCCGAGCGUUAUCCGGAUUUAUUAGGUUUAAAGGGUGCGCAGGCGGGACAUUAAGUCGGUGGUGAAAUACCGUAGCUCAACUACGGGGCUGCCAUCGAUACUGAUGACCUUGAGUGCGGAUGAGGAAGGCGGAAUGUGGCGUGUAGCGGUGAAAUGCUUAGAUAUGCCACAGAACACCGAUUGCGAAGGCAGCUUUCCAAUGCGUAACUGACGCUCAUGCACGAAAGCGCGGGUAGCGAACAGGAUUAGAUACCCUGGUA